Molecule: small nuclear RNA, 105 nt
Organism: Manis javanica (Malayan pangolin)
Lineage: Eukaryota; Metazoa; Chordata; Mammalia; Pholidota; Manidae
Source: RefSeq, a predicted model, not a curated record
UUGCUUCAGCAGCACAUACACUAAAAUUGGAACAAUACAGAGAGAAGAGUAGCAGGGCCCCUGCACAAGGAUGACAUGCAAGUUCAUGAAGUGUUCCAUAUAAAA